AACUUGGCUGGGGAACAGCAGUGUAGGCCUGUUUGGAGAAACGCCCUCCACUUGCUCAGGGCUCCAUUCCCCUUUGCCCUACAGAAGAGCAGCCAGGCCUGGCUCCUUCCCAGCAGAGAGGUACUGGAUCCCCUGCCCUGGCCUGGAAUGCACUGUGGGAGUAGCCAGGUACUCCUGGUGGCCUCUCUUCCCCCAAGCCUUGGAUUUGCCCUGGAGAGCUAGGCUGCUGGGUGACCGGACACCCUGCAUCUGAAGCUCACUCAGAGCUGGGGAGGCCCUUGGGUAUUUUUCCUAGGCUGGCCUUGCACUCCUGACUGUUCUGCCCAGCCUCUGACUGCUGGCAUAGCAGGUGUGCCCUACCACACCCGCUAGCCUCUUUGAUGCUCUGAGCAGCCUAAAGCAGCCCUGCUUCUUGCUCCCAUGUCUCACUGAAGCACCUGGAGCAACUGCCUGUUUACCUGACUUUCACCAGAUAAUGGGAGCGGUCUUGCUAUGCAGCCUAUACUAUCAAGAACUUAAAGAGUUCUCCUACCUAGCCCCACCAGUGCUGGGAUUACAGCUUGGACCACCAAGCCUGGCUUCAGUGGAAGACUUAAAACACUAGCUGUGCAGGUCCUCACCUGAGAGACGUGAGAAUGGAGGUGUGGGAGGACGAAGGCACUGCAGUCAGUUUUUCAUCACUUGCCAAGACUGCUUCCCCGUGUUGCA
Molecule: long non-coding RNA, 708 nt
Organism: Meriones unguiculatus (Mongolian gerbil)
Lineage: Eukaryota; Metazoa; Chordata; Mammalia; Rodentia; Muridae
Exons: 4
Source: RefSeq, a predicted model, not a curated record